GACGAACGCUGGCGGCGUGCUUAACACAUGCAAGUCGAACGAUGAAGCUGGAGCUUGCUCUAGCGGAUUAGUGGCGAACGGGUGAGUAACACGUGAGCAAUCUGCCCUUGACUCUGGGAUAACUGCGGGAAACUGUAGCUAAUACCGGAUACGAGACUUAGCGGCAUCUCUGAGUCUGGAAAGAAUUUCGGUCAAGGAUGAGCUCGCGGCCUAUCAGCUAGUUGGUGAGGUAAUGGCACACCAAGGCGAAGACGGGUAGCCGGCCUGAGAGGGUGACCGGGCACACUGGGACUGAGACACGGCCCAGACUCGUACGGGAGGCAGGAGUGGGGAAGAUUGCACACUGGGCGAAAGCCUGAUGCAGCAACGCCGCGUGAGGGAUGAAGGCAUUCGGGUUGUAAACCUCUUUUAGCAGGGAAGAAGCGAAAGUGACGGUACCUGCAGAAAAAGCACCGGCUAACUACGUGCCAGCAGCCGCUGUAA
Molecule: ribosomal RNA, 483 nt
Filed under: uncultured bacterium
Lineage: Bacteria
Description: partial 16S ribosomal RNA
Rfam family: Bacterial small subunit ribosomal RNA
Source: RNAcentral